This 397-nucleotide ribosomal RNA is filed under the name uncultured Salpingoecidae. RNAcentral's name for it is "partial small subunit ribosomal RNA". It matches the Rfam family "Eukaryotic small subunit ribosomal RNA", at positions 30 to 432 of the family's 1831-position model. The record is from RNAcentral. Lineage: Eukaryota; Choanoflagellata; Craspedida; Salpingoecidae.
GCUUGUCUCAAAGUUAAGCCAUGCAUGUCUAAGUAUAAAUGUUAUACAGUGAAACUGCGAAUGGCUCAUUAAAACAGUUAUAGUUUAUUUGAUAAUCGAAUUUACAUGGAUAACCGUAGUAAUUCUAGAGCUAAUACAUGCGAAAAGACGCGACUCACGAAGCGUUGUAUUUAUUAGAUACAAAACCAAUGCGGGGCAACCCGGUAUAAGGUGAUUCAUAAUAACUUUGCGAAUCGCAUGGCCUUGCGCCGGCGAUGAAUCAUUCAAAUUUCUGCCCUAUCAACUUUCGAUGGUAAGGUAUUGGCUUACCAUGGUCGCAACGGGUAACGGGGAAUAAGGGUUCGGUUCCGGAGAGGGAGCCUGAGAAAUGGCUACCACAUCCAAGGAAGGCAGCAGG